UCGAGAAUUUUUCUCAAUGGGGGAAACCCUGAAGGAGCGACGCCGCGUGGGGGAUGAAGGACUUCGGUUCGUAAACCCCUGUCACUAGGGAACAAUUGUUGCAACCUAACACGUUGCAAUUUGAUAGUACCUGGAGAGGAAGGGACGGCUAACUCUGUGCCAGCAGCCGCGGUAAUACAGAGGUCCCAAGCGUUGUUCGGAUUUAUUGGGCGUAAAGGGUGCGUAGGCGGUGAUACAAGUCGGAUGUGAAAUCCCGGAGCCUAACUCCGGAACUGCAUUCGAAACUGUAUCGCUCGAGGUCUGGAGAGGUGACUGGAAUUCUCGGUGUAGCAGUGAAAUGCGUAGAUAUCGAGAGGAACACCAGAGGCGAAGGCGAGUCACUGGACAGAACCUGACGCUG
This 400-nucleotide ribosomal RNA is filed under the name uncultured bacterium. Its description in RNAcentral is "bacterial SSU rRNA". It matches the Rfam family "Bacterial small subunit ribosomal RNA", at positions 355 to 748 of the family's 1533-position model. The record is from RNAcentral.